Molecule: ribosomal RNA, 66 nt
Filed under: Pan troglodytes (chimpanzee)
Lineage: Eukaryota; Metazoa; Chordata; Mammalia; Primates; Hominidae
Description: partial 12S rRNA
Source: RNAcentral
ACGUAUUUAUAUAGAGGAGAUAAGUCGUAACAUGGUAAGUGUACUGGAAAGUGCACUUGGACGAAC